AGCUCCAGUAGCCUAUCCACAUGUUGUUGCAGUUAAAAAGCUCGUAGUUGAAUGUCUGGGAUUUGAGUCUGCCGCUCAGCGGCGACUCUGCCCGCCCCGCCGAAAGGCGCUUUUACUGUGAAAAAAUUAGAGUGUUCCAAGCAGGCCUAGCCUGAAUACCUUAGCAUGGAAUAAUAACAUAGGACUGUCUGUGAUGUUGUUGGUUUGCAUCCAGCGGUAAUGAUUAAUAGGGACGAUCGGGGGCAUUUCUAUUCAGCAGUCAGAGGUGAAAUUCUUGGAUUUGCUGAAGAGAAACUGCUGCGAAAGCGUCUGCCAAGGGCGUUUUCAUUA
Molecule: ribosomal RNA, 330 nt
Filed under: Peyssonnelia sp.
Lineage: Eukaryota; Rhodophyta; Florideophyceae; Peyssonneliales; Peyssonneliaceae
Description: partial small subunit ribosomal RNA
Rfam family: Eukaryotic small subunit ribosomal RNA
Source: RNAcentral